AAAGUCAGUUAGACGAUCGCUCUAGGCAUUUAUGUCUGGGGAGGAAAGUCCGGGCUCCAUAGGGCAGAGUGCCAGGUAACACCUGGGGGGCGUGAGUCUACGGAAAGUGCCACAGAAAAUAUACCGCCAAUCCAGUUUAGGCUGGUUUGGUAAGGGUGAAAAGGUGCGGUAAGAGCGCACCGCAUAAUUGGUAACAGUUAUGGCAUGGUAAACCCCGCUCGGAGCAAGACCAAAUAGAAACCCAGCUGAUCUUCGGAUUAGACACAUACGGCCCGUAUGGGGUUUGGGUAGGUUGCUUGAGGUACGCGGUGACGUGUAUCCCAGAUGAAUGAUUGUCCACGACAGAACCCGGCUUAUCGACUGACUUUUACC
Molecule: RNase P RNA, 372 nt
Filed under: Legionellales bacterium RIFCSPHIGHO2_12_FULL_42_9
Lineage: Bacteria; Pseudomonadati; Pseudomonadota; Gammaproteobacteria; Legionellales
Description: RNase P RNA component class A
Rfam family: Bacterial RNase P class A
About the family: Ribonuclease P (RNase P) is a ubiquitous endoribonuclease, found in archaea, bacteria and eukarya as well as chloroplasts and mitochondria. Its best characterised activity is the generation of mature 5'-ends of tRNAs by cleaving the 5'-leader elements of precursor-tRNAs.
Source: RNAcentral